RNAcentral lists this ribosomal RNA (252 nucleotides) under uncultured bacterium. RNAcentral's name for it is "partial 16S ribosomal RNA". It matches the Rfam family "Bacterial small subunit ribosomal RNA", at positions 525 to 776 of the family's 1533-position model. The record is from RNAcentral.
ACGGAGGGUGCAAGCGUUAUCCGGAAUCAUUGGGUUUAAAGGGUCCGUAGGCGGGCUAAUAAGUCAGUGGUGAAAUGCAGGGGCUCAACUCCGGCACUGCCAUUGAUACUGUUAGUCUUGAAUUAUUGUGAAGUGGCUAGAAUAUGUAGUGUAGCGGUGAAAUGCUUAGAUAUUACAUAGAAUACCGAUUGCGAAGGCAGGUCACUAACAAUACAUUGACGCUGAGGGACGAAAGCGUGGGUAGCGAACAGG